RNAcentral lists this long non-coding RNA (217 nucleotides) under Elaeis guineensis (African oil palm). RNAcentral's name for it is "long non-coding RNA (EGUI_LNC039653)". Lineage: Eukaryota; Viridiplantae; Streptophyta; Magnoliopsida; Arecales; Arecaceae. The record is from RNAcentral.
UCAUGAAGAGUGAUCUUUUAAUCUGAGCCUUUAAGAUUUAAGUCGAGUUCACACUUGAUUCCAUUUAUCUUCUAAUUUGGACUCUUGAUUGGAGAGGCUGCUUCUUGAUCCUUGAUCUUUAAGUCGCGUUCACACUGAAAUGAGAGCUGGUUGCCUGGUUCACUCAAAUCUGAUCCGAUUUGAGUUCAAUUUGAAUCGUAUGAACUCAAACUCUCCA